RNAcentral lists this ribosomal RNA (452 nucleotides) under SR1 bacterium canine oral taxon 369. Its description in RNAcentral is "bacterial SSU rRNA". It matches the Rfam family "Bacterial small subunit ribosomal RNA", at positions 9 to 455 of the family's 1533-position model. Lineage: Bacteria; Candidatus Absconditibacteriota. The record is from RNAcentral.
GAGUUUGAUUCUGGCUCAGGAUGAACGCUAGCGAAAUGCCUAACACAUGCAAGUCGAACGGAUCUUGCGCUGUACUUGUACAGAGUAAGAUUAGUGGCAAACGAGCGAGUAACGCGUGCUUAACCUGCCCCGAAGAUGGGUAUAACUGCAGAGAUGUAGCUAAUUCCCAAUAUGCUCACGAUGGUGAAAUCCCAAUGUGAGGAAAGAUUUAUCGCUUCGGGAGGGGGGUGCGUCCUAUCAGGUAGUUGGUAAGGUAACGGCUUACCAAGCCUAUGACGGGUAACCGGUCUGAGAUGAUGUCCGGUCGCGAUGGGACUGAGAUACGGCCCAUACUCCUACGGGAGGCAGCAGUGGGGAAUCUUGCACAAUGGACGAAAGUCUGAUGCAGCAAUUUCGCGUGAAGGAUGAAGCAUUACGGUGUGUAAACUUCUUUUUUGGAGGAAGACGAAUGA